Molecule: non-coding RNA, 622 nt
Organism: Odocoileus virginianus texanus
Lineage: Eukaryota; Metazoa; Chordata; Mammalia; Artiodactyla; Cervidae
Source: RefSeq, a predicted model, not a curated record
UCAAACUGAUGUCUCCUGCAUUGCAGGCAGGCUCUUUACCACUGAACCACCAGGGAAGCCCCAAGGCCCCCUGUAGGCAGGCUGAAGAAGAAAGCUGUACAGAAGAAUAAAGAAGCAAGUCUUAGCCAGUCCCCAUGGGAGACAACCUUUGAGAAAUUGAGGACCUUUGGGGCCAGGACUUCUCUUUAAAUGUCUAACACGGACAGAGUGAAAGGACAAAAUUUAUGUGUUGGGGAAUGCAUUUUGAUACAAGAUCCAGCUAUGGGAAAGGUUUUUUAAAAUAGACAUGGUGUGACACUAGUGGUAAGGAGUACACCAGGCAACGCAGGAGGCAAGAGAGACAGAGAUUCAACCCCUGGAUCGUGGAGACCCCCUGAAGGAAGGUAUGGGAACCCGCUGCACUGUCCUUAGCAGGAGAAUCCUGAGGCCCGAGGAGCCUGGUGGGCUGCCGUCCGCAGAGUCACAGAGGGUCAGACACUACCAGAGCGACUCAGUGUGCGUGCGCGCUAAAGUGUCAUGAGGGACAGAGAAAACACACAAUAGAAUGUCUAGUUUCUGAUUAUUUUCCUUGGCUGUUUAAGAUCCAGAGAAGAUGCACCUCUGCUUAGAAAAUCCCACAAAU